Molecule: long non-coding RNA, 3724 nt
Organism: Salvelinus fontinalis (brook trout)
Lineage: Eukaryota; Metazoa; Chordata; Actinopteri; Salmoniformes; Salmonidae
Exons: 3
Source: RefSeq, a predicted model, not a curated record
UGCAUCAGGGCAACGCAGAACGAAACGCUACGUCAGGGUAUCACAUGGGAUGGGGGAAGCGUUGUGUUGACGGAACAAAAACAAAACAAAAGUGCGCUGAUUGCGGUGCCUGGUAACAAUGCCUCCAACAACGCCUCCAUCCACAGACGCGCCUUCAUCCACAGACGCACCUCCAUCCACAGACACGUCUUCAUCCACAGACGCACCUCCAUCCACAGACACGUCUUCAUCCACAGACGCACCUCCAUCCACAGACGCACCUCCAUCCACAGACACGUCUUCAUCCACAGACGCGCCUUCAUCCACAGACGCACCUCCAUCCACAGACACGUCUUCAUCCACAGACGCACCUCCAUCCACAGACACGUCUUCAUCCACAGACGCACCUCCAUCCACAGACACGUCUUCAUCCACAGACGCACCUCCAUCCACAGACGCGCCUUCAUCCACAGACGCACCUCCAUCCACAGACACGUCUUCAUCCACAGACGCGCCUUCAUCCACAGACGCACCUCCAUCCACAGACACGUCAGACCCACUUCAAGUGAUUUGCGAGGCUGACAUCUUUGGCAAGCAUGCAUCUGUCACUUAUGAAGACAUUUUAAUACAUCUGACAAACUUUCUUGUGCUGCCAAACUUUCUUGUGCUGCCUGUGGAUCAGUGCCCGUUCCACAACCGGGGGGGGAACAUGUAAAGAUUGCCAUGUCCUUCCGCCCUUUGAGGUCCAAAUCAGUUUGAGAGGCACAGCAAGCAUCAUUGAAUGUGUUCAUCCUGUGGACUAAGGAGGUUGUCAACCACAGAUUAAAGGCCGACGUCAUGCUGGGGACUAAGGAGGUUGUCAACCACAGAUUAAAGGCCGACGUCAUGCUGGGGACUAAGGAGGUUGUCAACCACUUGUGGUGGUGUUGUACGAGGAGUUAAUUUAUUUAUUGUCAGUCAUAUUUAUCUUGUCUUAUUUAUUACUCUUGUGUUAUGCUUAGCUGUGAAGCUAGCACUCGUCCCUGAGUUGCUGAAAUAAUUUCUGCAAUAGGCAAAGUGGGGAAUGCAUGCAUUGCGAUUGUAUGUGUCAGGACCUGUGGAAGGGUGUUACUCACCAUGUGGGGAAUGAACACACAUGGACAACUGGGACAUUGUGAACACGACAGCCUGGGGGACAACCACACCAAGGAAUGAAUCACAAAGGGCUCUCACAGACAUCGUCCUCAACACAAGGUGACUGAAGGAGCUUCGUAAAUACCUCAACUUCAGGAGGGUUACGUAUUUUCUCAAGGAUACUUCCCCCUAUUUAAGCAAUUGGUUACAGAUAAUGGUCCAUUGUACAUUACUCCAGUACUGUCCUCAGGGACCACCAGAAGAUGUUUACACAUAUUGGUCUAUUGGUCACAGAGGAGAGGGUUGGGAAACCCUGCAUUAGGGGUUUGUUUGACAUGCAGACAGCCAAAGGAGGAUUACAAUUUAGUUGAUUUCAUGAUGCUCAUUACGACUUGAUUUCAUGAUGCUUCAUUACGACAUGAUUUCAUGAUGCUCAUUACGACUUGAUUUCGUGAUGCUCAUUACGACUUGAUUUCAUGAUGCUCAUCGACAUGAUUUCAUGAUGCUCAUUACGACUUGAUUUCAUGAUGCUCAUUACGACUUGAUUUCAUGAUGCUCAUUACGACUUGAUUUCAUGAUGCUCAUUACGACUUGAUUUCGUGAUGCUCAUUACGACUUGAUUUCAUGAUGCUCAUUACGACUUGAUUUCGUGAUGCUCAUUACGACUUGAUUUCAUGAUGCUCAUUACGACUUGAUUUCGUGAUGCUCAUUACGACUUGAUUUCAUGAUGCUCAUUACGACUUGAUUUCGUGAUGCUCAAUACGACUUGAUUUCAUGAUGCUCAUGAUGACUUGAUUUCAUGAUGCUCAUGAUGACUUGAUUUCAUGAUGCUUAUUACGACUUGAUUUCAUGAUGCUUCAUUACGACUUGAUUUCGUGAUGCUCAUUACGACUUGAUUUCAUGAUGCUCAUUACGACUUGAUUUCGUGAUGCUCAUUACGACUUGAUUUCGUGAUGCUCAUCGACAUGAUUUCAUGAUGCUCAUUACGACUUGAUUUCAUGAUACUCAUUACGACUUGAUUUCAUGAUGCUCAUUACGACUUGAUUUCAUGAUGCUCAUUACGACUUGAUUUCAUGAUGCUCAUUACGACUUGAUUUCGUGAUGCUCAUUACGACUUGAUUUCGUGAUGCUCAUUACGACUUGAUUUCAUGAUGCUCAUUACGACUUGAUUUCGUGAUGCUCAAUACGACUUGAUUUCAUGAUGCUCAUGAUGACUUGAUUUCAUGAUGCUCAUGAUGACUUGAUUUCAUGAUGCUCAUUACGACUUGAUUUCAUGAUGCUCAUUACGACUUGAUUUCAUGAUGCUCAUUACGACUUGAUUUCAUGAUGCUCAUUACGACUUGAUUUCAUGAUGCUCAUGAUGACUUGAUUUCAUGAUGCUCAUUACGACUUGAUUUCAUGAUGCUCAUUACGACAUGAUUUCAUGAUGCUCAUUAUGACUUGUCUGUCAACUGUUGGACCUUAUAUUGACAGGUGUGUGCCUUUCCAAAUCAAUAUAAUUUAUCACAGGUGGAUUCCAAUCAAGUUGUAGAAAUAUCUCAAGGAUAAUCAAUGAUUUACCUGAGCUCAAUUCUGAGUCUCAUAGAAAAGGGUCUGAAUACUUAUGUAAAUAAGGCAUUUCUGUUUUUCUAUUUUUAAUACAUUUGCAAACAAUUCUAAACACCUGUUUUCACUUUGUCAUUAUGGGGUAUUGUGUCAUGAAAACUCAAUUUAAUCCAUUUUAAAAUUAUGCUGUAACACAAAAAAAAAUGUUGGAAAAAGUCGAGGGGUGUGAAUACUCCCUGAAGGCGUUGUAUAGUGUAAGUCCCCACUCUAUUUGAAGUCGAGGGGUCUGAAUACUCCCUGAAGGCGUUGUAUAGUGUAAGUCCCCACUCUAUUUGAAGUCCAGGGGUGUGAAUACUCCCUGAAGGCGUUGUAUAGUGUAAGUCCCCACUCUAUUUGAAGUGGAGGGGUGUGAAUACUCCCUGAAGGCGUUGUAUAGUGUAAGUCCCCACUCUAUUUGAAGUGGAGGGGUGUGAAUACUCCCUGAAGGCGUUGUAUAGUGUAAGUCCCCACUCUAUUUGAAGUCCAGGGGUGUGAAUACUCCCUGAAGGCGUUGUAUAGUGUAAGUCCCCACUCUAUUUGAAGUCCAGGGGUGUGAAUACUCCCUGAAGGCGUUGUAUAGUGUAAGUCCCCACUCUAUUUGAAGUCGAGGUUAGAGAAGGACGUUUUGAACAACAGAAUUUUUUCAAGUCUGCCCCACCCACCUGUUCACACUCACACAUUGGCCAAACACAGGAUCUAUCUAAAUUCAUUUCCUGAAUUGCUUUACAGCCUAUCUCUUUUGCCUCCUUCUCAAAACCUAUUGGAGAAGAGGGUCCGAGGGGCGUGACCCUGGCCUUUUUUCUACCAUACGAUUGAGAAGUAGGCGAGGACGUGGGAUUCCAGAAACUGUGAGUGAUUGAAUAUAAACAGGAACUUCUCAGUGUAUAUCUCCUUUCUCUAAACCAAUGAGGGAAGUGAUACACAACCUUAUUUGUUCUGAUUUACCCAGAUUACAAGAUCUUUGACCUUACUAAUUGUCCUUGAAAGUACUUUUAAAAAAUAUAUAUUUUUUAUAACACAAUGAAUACUCUCAAAUUAUGUUGGUUUA